This 344-nucleotide ribosomal RNA is filed under the name uncultured eukaryote. RNAcentral's name for it is "SSU rRNA". It matches the Rfam family "Eukaryotic small subunit ribosomal RNA", at positions 567 to 915 of the family's 1831-position model. The record is from RNAcentral.
CCAGCAGCCGCGGUAAUUCCAGCUCCAAUAGCGUAUAUUAAAGUUGUUGCGGUUAAAAAGCUCGUAGUUGGAUUUCUGCUGAGGAUGACCGGUCCGUCCUCUGGACAGGCAUCUGGCUCAGCCUUGGCAUCUUCCUGAAGAACGUAGCUGCACUUGACUGUGUGGUGCGGUAUUUAGGACAUUUACUUUGAGGAAAUUAGAGUGUUUCAAGCAAGCGCACGCUUUGAAUACAUUAGCAUGGAAUAAUAAGAUAGGACCUCGGUUCUAUUUUGUUGGUUUCUAGAGCUGAGGUAAUGAUUGAUAGGGAUAGUUGGGGGCAUUCGUAUUUAACUGUCAGAGGUGAA